ACGGACUUAAUCCGUUGGCUUUAAUAGACCUUGAGGGUUCAAGUCCCUCUACCCCCAUUA
Molecule: transfer RNA, 60 nt
Filed under: Marchesinia robusta
Lineage: Eukaryota; Viridiplantae; Streptophyta; Jungermanniopsida; Porellales; Lejeuneaceae
Description: partial tRNA-Leu
Source: RNAcentral